AGAGCGAACGCUGGCGGCAGGCCUAAUACAUGCAAGUCGAACGGAUCCUUCGGGAUUAGUGGCGGACGGGUGAGUAACACGUGGGAACGUACCCUUUGAUUCGGAACAACUCAGGGAAACUUGAGCUAAUACCGAAUGUGCCCUUCGGGGAAAAGAUUUAUCGCCAUUGGAGCGGCCCGCGUCUGAUUAGCUAGUUGGUAGGGUAAAGGCCUACCAAGGCUACGAUCAGUAGCUGGUCUGAGAGGAUGAUCAGCCACACUGGGACUGAGACACGGCCCAGACUCCUACGGGAGGCAGCAGUAGGGAAUCUUGCGCAAUGGGCGAAAGCCUGACGCAGCCAUGCCGCGUGAAUGAUGAAGGUCUUAGGAUUGUAAAAUUCUUUCAGCGGGGACGAUAAUGACGGUACCGCAGAAGAGCCCGGCUAACUCGCGCCAGCAGCCGC
This 442-nucleotide ribosomal RNA is filed under the name uncultured bacterium. RNAcentral's name for it is "SSU rRNA". It matches the Rfam family "Bacterial small subunit ribosomal RNA", at positions 26 to 518 of the family's 1533-position model. The record is from RNAcentral.